This 1335-nucleotide long non-coding RNA is filed under the name Salmo salar (Atlantic salmon). RNAcentral describes it as "lncRNA (ENSSSAG00000093251.1)". The record is from RNAcentral. Lineage: Eukaryota; Metazoa; Chordata; Actinopteri; Salmoniformes; Salmonidae.
CUGGUGAGCAGCAACAUGUGAAGACUCGUUUUCUCAGUGCUCAGAUCCAGGGCGAACAAUUUACUAUUAAUAUUUGACCAACACCUCCCCCACCGGGUUCAUUUUGUAACGUUUAAUUUGGAAUCGAACCCAAUUUACUAAUCUGGCUUUUUUUGUGAAAUGUUUGGCCUUUUAAUCGUAAAAUGUCGAGACAACAACGGCCGCGGGCCACAAAGGAGCAGGCCUCUGCUGAAGCCUCGGGCUCACCUGACACGGACUCUGAUCCCACAGACCUAGCCAUGGUAAUGGCGGCUAUCAUUAAAUCUGAACACUGUGCUGGAUAAGGUGGAGUCAUUAUCCACUGACCUGUUCGCACAAAUAGCUAUUCACGCCACCGAGAUCAACAUAAAGAUUGACUCCGUUAGCGAAGACUUGGCGAGACAGAUGGCGCAAAUGUUUACUCCGACAAAGUGGUGACACUGGAAGAGCAAGUCACCCGGCUAUCAUCAAAAGUCGUCAAACUCACUUCCAAGGUUGAGGACCCCGAGAACAGACAGUGCCGGGGGAACGGUCGAAUUUUCGGCGUGAGAGAGGGACUCGAGACCGUAGGCAGAAUGCGGCCUACCCUGUCCAUAGCUAAACUGCUACAGGAAAUUCUAGGCCUCGAUUAAACCCCCACCCUUGACCAUGCGCACAGAAGCAUACAGUCCGCACCGAAGAAUGGGGAGCCGCCCAGACCCAUAGUAGUUAAUUUCCACUACCUUCAGGAGAAGGAGGAUGUCUUCCGUAAGGCAGUGCGAGUGGCUCCCAUCACCCACGACGGCCAGAAUAUUCGCAUUUACCAGGACUACACGGCGGAAGUCAUGAAGAAGAGGUCAGCCUUCAACGAGGUGAGGUGGCUCCUACACCGCUGUCUGGACACCAAGUUCGGCAUUCUCUACGCAGCUGUACUGAAGAUCACUACUUCCUCCAGUGAGCAGAUGACAUUCUUAGACCCAACCAAGGCCAAAGAAUACAUUGUCGUGCACCUACAUCCACAGGAGGACAGGCAACAUAAUACUAACUAGCCAUUGUGGGCUCAUACUGUGACCCUGCACUAGCCGUGCUAAUGCGACCAAGGACCAACAAGUGAAUUCAUAUCUUGACUAGAAACGUGCCUCCACCCUGCUGUCAAAAAAUUACAAUUAUUUAUCCAGUAAUUUAACAGUAAUAUUAGGCCUAUGAGAAUAAUUAUAUGGAGGAUUUGCUGUUUGUGUGUUAAUGUAUAUUUUGAAGUGUAUGUGUAUUAUUUUUUUCAAGGUGGGAACUAGGAAGGCAAUUAUGUUGGGAGAGAGUUGAGAUAUUGACUAGACUGUG